AGCUUUAACAUGCAGUCGAACGGCAGCGCGAGAGAGCUUGCUCUCUUGGCGGCGAGUGGCGGACGGGUGAGUAAUAUAUCGGAACGUGCCCAGUAGCGGGGGAUAACUACUCGAAAGAGUGGCUAAUACCGCAUACGCCCUACGGGGGAAAGGGGGGGAUCGCAAGACCUCUCACUAUUGGAGCGGCCGAUAUCGGAUUAGCUAGUUGGUGGGGUAAAGGCUCACCAAGGCAACGAUCCGUAGCUGGUUUGAGAGGACGACCAGCCACACUGGGACUGAGACACGGCCCAGACUCCUACGGGAGGCAGCAGUGGGGAAUUUUGGACAAUGGGGGAAACCCUGAUCCAGCCAUCCCGCGUGUAUGAUGAAGGCCUUCGGGUUGUAAAGUACUUUUGGCAGAGAAAAAAAGGUAUCCCCUAAUACGGGAUACUGCUGACGGUAUCUGCAGAAUAAGCACCGGCUAACUACGUGCCAGCAGCCGCGGUAAUACGUAGGGUGCAAGCGUUAAUCGGAAUUACUGGGCGU
This 525-nucleotide ribosomal RNA is filed under the name Alcaligenes faecalis. RNAcentral describes it as "bacterial SSU rRNA". It matches the Rfam family "Bacterial small subunit ribosomal RNA", at positions 45 to 561 of the family's 1533-position model. The record is from RNAcentral. Lineage: Bacteria; Pseudomonadati; Pseudomonadota; Betaproteobacteria; Burkholderiales; Alcaligenaceae.